This is a non-coding RNA of Oryza glaberrima (African rice), 207 nucleotides long. The record is from Rfam. NCBI's taxonomy places the organism in Eukaryota, Viridiplantae, Streptophyta, Magnoliopsida, Poales, Poaceae.
AAAAAGACAAAUCCUGAGUUUGCGUGUCCAACUUUAACUGUCCGUCUUAUAUAAUUUUUUUUUAUAAUUCGUAUUUUCAUUGUUGUUAGAUGAUAAAACAUGAUUAAUAUUUUAUGCAUAACUUGUCGUUUUAAUUUUUUUUCAAAUUUUUUUUAAAUAAGACAGACGGUCAAACGUUGGGCACGGAAAACAAGGUUUGUCUUUUUU